UGCCAGCAGCCGCGGUAAUACGUAGAGUGCUAACGUUGUUCGGAAUUACUGGGCAUAAAGAGCUUGUAGGCGGCUUGGUAAGUCGGUUGUGAAAGCCCCUGGCUCAACCAGGGAACUGCGGCCGAAACUGCCUCGCUUGAGUGUGAGAGGGGAGAGUGGAACUUCCAGUGGAGCGGUGAAAUGCGUAGAUAUUGGAAGGAACGCCGGCGGCGAAAGCGACUCUCUGGCCUGAUACUGACGCUGAGGUGCGAAAGCUAGGGGAGCAAACGGGAUUAGAUA
Molecule: ribosomal RNA, 279 nt
Filed under: uncultured bacterium
Lineage: Bacteria
Description: partial 16S ribosomal RNA
Rfam family: Bacterial small subunit ribosomal RNA
Source: RNAcentral